This 482-nucleotide ribosomal RNA is filed under the name uncultured bacterium. Its description in RNAcentral is "partial 16S ribosomal RNA". It matches the Rfam family "Bacterial small subunit ribosomal RNA", at positions 28 to 523 of the family's 1533-position model. The record is from RNAcentral.
GACGAACGCUGGAGGCGUGCUUAACACAUGCAAGUCGAACGAUGAAAUGGAUCUUGCUCCAUGGAUUAGUGGCGAACGGGUGAGUAACACGUGAAUAACCUGCCCUUAAUUUUGGAAUAACCCAGGGAAACCUGGGCUAAUACCGGAUAAGUAGACCUGUAGCAUCACAUGGUUUUGGAAAGUUUUUCGAUUAAGGAUGGAUUCGCGUCCUAUCAGCUUGUUGGUGAGGUAAUGGCUCACCAUGGCGACGACGGGUAGCCGGCCUGUGAGGAGAAACGGCCACACUGGGACUGAGACACGGCCCAAACUCCUGCGGGAGGCAGCUGUGGGUGAUAUUGCGCAAUGGACGAAAGUCUGACGCAGCGACUCCUCGUGAGGGACGAAGGUCGUCGGAUUGUGAACCUCUUUCAACAGGGACGAAGCGAAAGUGACGGUGCCUGCAGAAGAAGCACCGGCUAACUAUGUGCCAGCCGCCGCCGUAA